This 75-nucleotide transfer RNA is filed under the name Pseudomonadota bacterium. Its description in RNAcentral is "Proteobacteria bacterium tRNA-Lys". It matches the Rfam family "tRNA". From Rfam's summary of the family: Transfer RNA (tRNA) molecules are approximately 80 nucleotides in length. Their secondary structure includes four short double-helical elements and three loops (D, anti-codon, and T loops). Further hydrogen bonds mediate the characteristic L-shaped molecular structure. tRNAs have two regions of fundamental functional importance: the anti-codon, which is responsible for specific mRNA codon recognition, and the 3' end, to which the tRNAs corresponding amino acid is attached (by aminoacyl-tRNA synthetases). tRNAs cope with the degeneracy of the genetic code in two manners: having more than one tRNA (with a specific anti-codon) for a particular amino acid; and 'wobble' base-pairing, i.e. permitting non-standard base-pairing at the 3rd anti-codon position. The record is from RNAcentral. Lineage: Bacteria; Pseudomonadati; Pseudomonadota.
GCACCGUUAGCCGACAGGUGUGGCAACAGACUUUUAAUCUGACUGGGGAAGGUUCGAGUCCUUCACGGUGUACAA